GUACAGAUGGACUGUACAUACAUCCUAUAAUUGGUUUCCAUUCUCUAACUUUAGUAUGCUUUUAAGAAACUUAUACACAAUGCUUAUUACCAAAAAACACAGAUCAAGUUUGAAUGGGGUAGCGUCACAGUUACCAAACUUAAAUUAUGCAUUUUUACAAACAGAAAAAUUACUGAAUUUUCGUUUCCAUUCUCUAACUUUAGUAUGCUUUUAAGAAACUUAUACACAAUGCUUAUUACCAAAAAACACAGAUCAAGUUUGAAUGGGGUAGCGUCACAGUUACCAAACUUAAAUUAUGCAUUUUUACAAACAGAAAAAUUACUGAAUUUUCG
This 332-nucleotide long non-coding RNA is filed under the name Mytilus galloprovincialis (Mediterranean mussel). Lineage: Eukaryota; Metazoa; Mollusca; Bivalvia; Mytilida; Mytilidae. The record is from RNAcentral.